GCACCCAUAGCUCAGCUGGAUAGAGCAACAGUUUGCGGUACUGUAGGUCGGGCGUUCGAAUCGCUCUGGGUGUACCA
Molecule: transfer RNA, 77 nt
Filed under: Campylobacterales bacterium
Lineage: Bacteria; Pseudomonadati; Campylobacterota; Epsilonproteobacteria; Campylobacterales
Also listed under: 1 other name
Description: tRNA-Arg
Rfam family: tRNA
About the family: Transfer RNA (tRNA) molecules are approximately 80 nucleotides in length. Their secondary structure includes four short double-helical elements and three loops (D, anti-codon, and T loops).
Source: RNAcentral